UCCUCAAUCCUACUUCAGAUUCUGCUUAUCCCCGUAUGUCUUCCGUCCUUCUCAUCUAGUAGAGGUUCCUCCUGGUUUGACCUAAGAACAACGGCCUCCUCAAAAUGAUUCGUGAAAGAGGCAGUUUGAACCUACGUUUAAUUUCGUUUACAAACUAUGCUUCGUCGUCUUACCGAAAAGGUUUCCACAUUAAGAGGGUAAAAGUCAACUUUGGAAAUAGGGGAAAGCAUGAUAAAUAUACGAAAUACGAAUGAUACGUUUUGACGUCGGCUUUCAUCCGGACCUCCUACACUUAACGUGAGUUUGGAUACGUCCAAAGCACCGGUUUGAUCGACGAUGAUAACAUAAAGUCCCGUAAGUCUACCACCUCACCUUCAGUUCGUAGGAGGACGUUCAGGUAGUUUUAGUCGACUUGGGAGCGAAGGUGAACACUUUUAUGGUCACGUUCUUAGUUCGUUCCUGUUGUCACCGCAGUACACCUAUAGUAGUGGACUGGCGGAACUUCUAGGAGCAUUUGGUAAAGUCAUGAGUUUGUCAAGACCGAGGGGUGCACAAAGUCUCAGUCCUAGACUGUAAAUAUCGUUCUCUCUCCAGUAUGUCUUCGACUCCGUCGUGGACUUUUCUGCACUACUCUACUAGUACCUCUAAGUUCGAGUCUAACGACUGGAAUUCUUGAGAGAACGGUAGGUCCUCUUCGUCAGCAGAUUAAACGUCAGAGUCGACCUCAGACGAUUGGCUCUAUAUAAACUAAGACUCGCUCUCUAGGUCGUAGACUCCUUCUAGUAGUGUCUGGUAACACAACCGCUUCGUGAGAGAGUGCUAUUCGGCAACGUACAACCUGUGACCGUCAGUCUACGGUGGUUACCCGUACGAUUACCGAUGCGGUUAUCGUCGCAGCCACUGGGACUCGACGUAAAAUAACCAUAACCCUUCUUCUUUCUUCUCAACCUCUCCUACCUCUACGAGUUCUCCCUCCACCCACUCGACUUCCUUCAAUAGCCUCCCUUUCUGAAGAACGAAGUGUCGAUGUUCCUCGUCUUCCAGCUCGAGACAAGAGUCUAGUCCCUUAACGUCCUUUUUGAGAGGAGCGUACACGGCUUGUAUAACAUCCUAGAUGACCAUUACAAGCAAGCGGUUUCCUCGUCGUCGACAUCGGGACAAGGGUACGCCAGAACGUGUCCGGCUUAGACAGCCACGUGUCCGGCUUGUAGGAUCCCAUAAACGUCUUACAAUCCGACUAACCAAAGAAAGAAAGAAGAACCUGGAUCCCAUCGAUUUAAUUACCCUUCAACUAUGAGGUCUGAAUGCCACGACAUGAAAGAAAAAACCAAACGUCCGUGGAGACACACUACAAAUCUCUUUAUAGGAAAGGAUAGAUUACACACCAGCCACUGUAAAGAUACAUUGAAAAAAGUUGUUUCUCACCUAAAAAUAACCG
This 1438-nucleotide ribosomal RNA is filed under the name Triticum aestivum (bread wheat). RNAcentral's name for it is "partial small subunit ribosomal RNA". Lineage: Eukaryota; Viridiplantae; Streptophyta; Magnoliopsida; Poales; Poaceae. The record is from RNAcentral.